Long non-coding RNA from Cimex lectularius (bed bug), 549 nucleotides. RefSeq lists it as uncharacterized. The transcript has 2 exons. The record is from RefSeq and is a predicted model, not a curated record. NCBI's taxonomy places the organism in Eukaryota, Metazoa, Arthropoda, Insecta, Hemiptera, Cimicidae.
UUCGAACAAAUGAUUUAUUUUAAAUAGACGGCAGCAUUUUAUUUUCGCACUUAUUCAUUUGUUAGUCCCAUUUUCGAAACGGUUCAAAAUUUAUAGGCCAUUUUUUAUAUAAAUUGUACGCGUCCGUCGAUCUCUUCUUUCGACACCUACCGGGGAACAAUCGAGACGAUUUGACUUUUUGCUUUGCGAUGGCAAACUAUUUUCUUUCUCGAUGCGUAGCCACUCGUCCGAAAAGCGUCGGGUUCAGUGUUUUCCGAAACUGCCAAUUUUCUUUUUGUUUGUGUGGCAUCUGAAAUUGAAGAAGGAAAAGAAAAAAUCGUUUCAUAAAAUAAAACACUUGCCUUCCGCUUUUGUGACAAAGGAGCUGGGAUUUCGGAUUCAUUCAGCUAAGGCCUCAGCCCGGAGAAAAUCCGAGACCCGUCGUGGCGAACGUCUUCCUCUCGGUGGGCCAUGCUGCACCAGCAGUAACACCACAUGUAACGAAUGAAUUUAAUGGAGGAAGAGUUGUCAAGCACAUUUUAAAAUACAAUAAAUUCUAAUUACACAUCC